GUGAUUGAUGCCUCUUGUCCUUUACUAUGCCCUUCUAAUACCUCACUAAAACUUCCUUCUAGGCAGAUGAAGACAGCAAACAGACCCAUCCUUGAUCUUCUUCAGGCUGGAAAAUCUCACUUCCCCACAUGGCAUUCGCCAUUUGGCUUACAGUCAUGUCUGGCCCACAUUCCUGUAGGAGGUCUGCGUUUACUAUGACAUGAGAGUCCAUCAAAAGAAAAAGAGAGAUGUGAAAGAAAGAUUCUUGGAAAUCUGAUGACUGGAAAAAAUGAUAGUUCUUGCCAAGGAUUUUUCUGAAAACUGGAAAAAACAACAGGACUGGGGUCAGCUAUCUGUGGGUCUCUUGUUCUGCUGAGGAAACGAGACUGUGAGCCAAAGCCAGCUCCCUAGAGAGCUGCCAGAAAAGAUGCUUUGUCCCUGGGCUGUGAAGAUGAUUUUUCAUUUCCUGCUACUGUUAAAAAAUGAUAUCUCUGCACGGAGUUCUUGUGGCAUCUUCUCUGUUUGGUACAGUGAUCACAGCUUGAAGAAAUCAGGCAUGACUGUAAGUCUUAGAAAUCUCCACAAGUCAACAUGGUCACUUUUCCAAGAAGCAAAGCAGCUUGGUUUUGCAAGAAACUUCAACAAGAGGAUUUUCUAGCCACAGCUAUGGGUCAGUUGCUUCCAAGGAUCUCGCAAGCACAGAGAAGGGAAGAGACAAGAUAAGGAAGAAAACAAAACGAUCAUUUCAUUUUAAUCAAAUCCUUUCUUGAGGCUUGAGAAACUUUCUACUACUGUGUGCAUGUUUGUUUGUUUUUUUAAUUUCCACUUCCAUCUGCUUGUACACUUGUGACUUGCAGCUGAGACUACAAGCAAUAGUGCCAAAACACCAUGGGAAACACCAUACUUUCUAUUUUUCUUACCAGACAGUAAUAUCCUGAAGAAGAAACAAGCUGGUUCUCAUGAAAGUUUUUACCUGAGGACAGGCUUGGUCAUGUACUAGUUUGCCCUGUUUCCAUCACCAGCUAAAGAAGAAAAAGAAUAAACCGUACUGCAGGUUGAGAAGAAAUUCA
Molecule: long non-coding RNA, 1049 nt
Filed under: Coturnix japonica (Japanese quail)
Lineage: Eukaryota; Metazoa; Chordata; Aves; Galliformes; Phasianidae
Description: lncRNA (ENSCJPG00005001281.1)
Source: RNAcentral